This 506-nucleotide ribosomal RNA is filed under the name uncultured bacterium. RNAcentral describes it as "partial 16S ribosomal RNA". It matches the Rfam family "Bacterial small subunit ribosomal RNA", at positions 28 to 523 of the family's 1533-position model. The record is from RNAcentral.
GAUGAACGCUAGCUACAGGCUUAACACAUGCAAGUCGAGGGGUAACAAGAGAAAAGCUUGCUUUUCUUGUUGACGACCGGCGCACGGGUGAGUAACGCGUAUCCAACCUGCCUCUAACUAGGGAAUAACCUUGCGAAAGUAAGACUAAUGCCCUAUGACUUCCUUUGGCGGCAUCAAAAAAGGAGUAAAGAUUUAGCGGUUAGAGAUGGGGAUGCGUCUGAUUAGCUUGUUGGCGGGAUAACGGCCCACCAAGGCAACGAUCAGUAGGGGUUCUGAGAGGAAGGUCCCCCACAUUGGAACUGAGACACGGUCCAAACUCCUACGGGAGGCAGCAGUGAGGAAUAUUGGUCAAUGGGCGGAAGCCUGAACCAGCCAAGUAGCGUGCAGGAUGACGGCCCCAUGGGUUGUAAACUGCUUUUAUACAGGGAUAAAGUUAGCCACGUGUGGUUAUUUGCAGGUACUGUAUGAAUAAGGACCGGCUAAUUCCGUGCCAGCAGCCGCCGUAA